This 305-nucleotide ribosomal RNA is filed under the name uncultured bacterium. Its description in RNAcentral is "partial 16S ribosomal RNA". It matches the Rfam family "Bacterial small subunit ribosomal RNA", at positions 508 to 808 of the family's 1533-position model. The record is from RNAcentral.
ACAGCAGCCGCCGCGGUAAUACGAAGGGGCUAGCGUUGUUCGGAUUUACUGGGCGUAAAGGGUGCGUAGGCGGAUUGUUAAGUCAGGGGUGAAAUCCCGAGGCUCAACCUCGGAACUGCCUUUGAUACUGGCGAUCUUGAGUCCGGGAGAGGUGAGUGGAACUGCGAGUGUAGAGGUGAAAUUCGUAGAUAUUCGCAAGAACACCGGUGGCGAAGGCGGCUCACUGGCCCGGUACUGACGCUGAGGCACGAAAGCGUGGGGAGCAAACAGGAUUAGAUACCCCUGUAGUCCCUGUCUCUUAUACC